This 102-nucleotide non-coding RNA is filed under the name Bacillus sp. (in: firmicutes). RNAcentral describes it as "Bacillus sp. Guanine sequence". It matches the Rfam family "Purine riboswitch aptamer". Rfam says of the family: Riboswitches are metabolite binding domains within certain messenger RNAs that serve as precision sensors for their corresponding targets. Allosteric rearrangement of mRNA structure is mediated by ligand binding, and this results in modulation of gene expression. The record is from RNAcentral. RNAcentral also lists the same sequence under 1 other name. Lineage: Bacteria; Bacillati; Bacillota; Bacilli; Caryophanales; Bacillaceae.
AGAAUGACCUUCAAUGAGACUCGUAUAAUCUCAGGGAUAGGGCCUGAAAGUUUCUACCGCUCGACCGUAAAUCGAGCGACUACGAGGAGAGGACUUCGGAUU